This 990-nucleotide long non-coding RNA is filed under the name Ananas comosus (pineapple). RNAcentral describes it as "long non-coding RNA (ACOM_LNC015264)". Lineage: Eukaryota; Viridiplantae; Streptophyta; Magnoliopsida; Poales; Bromeliaceae. The record is from RNAcentral.
ACAUGUUUUUGAACGGGCUUUUUUAGUAAAUGACCCUUGAAAAAAUUUUAUUUUAAAAAUAACUCAGUUAAAAUUUAAUUUGCAAAAAUGAUCCUGCCCCUGCCACGCAGGCGUCACGUCAGCGCCACACGGGCAGGGCUGGGGCAGUGUGUUUAGAAAUCAAAUUUCAUACAUUUUCGAUAGUGUUCUCUUAUCCAUCGAGUGGACACAAAAAUGAAUUGCUGAAAAUGAAUAUUCUUAAAAAAAUGAUGAUAGGAGUCUUGUAAUCUAGAUCAAGAGUAUAGAUCUUGUUUUAAAUAGUUUAAAGAAUUUUCUAACAAAAAUUUAAUUGAUUUGGAUUCUUUACGCCGUUAAACGAGAAAAUGCCUCAUAUUGACCAUUAAAAUUACAAAUUUUGAAACCCUUUGAUCAUUGGGCAAAUGAUGUCGAAAAGAUUUGAAAUUUGAUUUCUAAACACUUCAAGUGGUAUAGAUCAUGUUCAACAAUGCCGAUCGUCGAUUUAGAGACUUGAUCAUUGAAAACAAAUGGGUGGCAACGGAGCCCGUUUGCUAUCGAUAGUAUUCUAGCUCAACUCUAUAUAUAUAAUACUUAUACAUUGUUGUCUUACGUAUUAUUGUGAGCCUUUCUUUAGUCAUAUUAACUGCAAUAUGAUAUUUUUUUGAUUAUUGUGUUAUAAAAAUAAUUUUAAUCAUCCAUUUGCAUGAUAUGCGGCCUCUUUUGAACAAGAUUGAAUAAUUUUGUUGGAAUAAUUGAUUCUUUUUCAUUAUAGUUUUUUAUUAAAAAAAAUGUUUGUCUAUAAUAUAGACUAUAUUUAUUAUUUUUUAUACUAAACUAAUAUUUUAUUUUUUACAAAUUUUCACUUUAACAGUAUUUACUCGCCGUAACACGCGGGUCACUACACUAGUAUAAUUAAAGAUGUGGUUAAUUUAGACUUAGACUAUACAUACAUACGUACAUACAGUUGAAACAACAAUUUAUAUAUAUACUUAU